UGCCUCUGCAGUUUAUGAUGCAAAAAAACAGCAAAAAGGAUGCCUCAAUAAAAAAUCAGCAAAAGGAAACGAAAAAGUACAAAGACAUGGAAAUUAAUUGAGAAAAUUUAGUGUCUGUCUUUUUCCUGUCAAAUAACAACCAAAUACUCUCUCGAUCAUGGCACAAGAUAGCCGAAAUUUCUCAAAUGCUUAAUAUACAGAAGCAGCAUCUGAAGAGAAAAUCUCUAACAACCAAAAAGGAUGAGCCCUCUGUCUUCUAUGAGGUACCACUGUACCAGAGUGUGGAGCUCUUAGAUCUCAAUGUUUGAUGGAUAUUAUAGAUGAAGCGCUACAUACAAAAUCCAAGGUAGUAGAUAUUAUAGUUGAUACCCUAGUUAUAAAUAUAGAACUUGGCUUGCUAUCAACUACCUAGUUUAUAGGAAUUAAGAACUUUUUGGUGUCAGUCAGUCCAAUCAUAUAACGAAUCUUAAAUUAAUUUGAAGGUGAAAGAAGUCAAAAGGAAGCACACAUACAAUAUCAAAAUGCUUUUCUCCACUUAUAUCCAUGGCAUCAAUGCUGAGCAGCAAACACGGAAUGACAGGAAAGGUUACAUCAAACUGCAAGCAGCAAUGAAAAUAUGCAAGUAUUAGCAAAUAUCGAUACUAGUAAAGCUUUGAACUUUGCGAAUUGUAAUACCAGAAUAUUAUCAAAUACAUUCAACCAUACGAUCAGAUAACCACGAAAACAGCUGAGCAAGGUGAUUUACAUUGAUCUGCAGGCUCUCGCCCCUUGCCGUAUCCACCGAAAGCUUGGUCUCGGUUACAGUAUGUAGGUACAAACCUUUCCAUAAUUUGAGCAAUGAAACGUAGAUCCGUCAGUGUCGAGUAGAAUUAAUCAUAGAAAACGCUAAAGUAACAAAUUUUGACUACAACAAGCCAAUAAUAGCAGUUGAACAAAGGAAUAUAAGAAGAAACAUUCAAACCAAAUCCGGUGAUGUUCGCUGAGACUAGAUACUCAAAAGGCCAUUUUUAUGUAUUCAGAAGCUAGACUAGAUGCUAUUACAAAAAUUGCUGCAAUUUCAUAUUUGAUUGCAAAAAGAAUUAAAAGCAGAUGGGAAAGGAGGAGAAACUUACUGAACUCAGAUAUGAAAAGGAGGAACAUGACAAUAGCAGAAACGAGCGUAAUAACGCCGCCGGAGAGUGUGCGGCUGUAGAAAUCCUCGUUGAUUUUCGGGUAGGCGUCCAAAUUGCGGAGCUUUUGUACCACCGCAUCCAUGCUUGCUGCUCGCUGCGGGAAAAGUCACAGAAAUUCCUUUGUCCCCGGGGUAGAGGUAACCACAGGGAGAGACGACUAAAGCAACAACAACAACAAAAAGCAAUCGCCUCUGCCUUGGUUUGCCGUCCACCGGAGCUACCUCAGCAUAAUGUCUGCGACGAUUCCAAAUCAAAUGGAGACGGAGAACUUCCAACUCUGAUUGGUAAAUUACCGAAUUAGAGUCAAACUUCUAACUCUGUCCCUUGGUAACGAACGUCCAACUCGGCUAUUCCCUUGUCCUGAAUCGGACUGAAAAGAGUAUUAGAAACAGGGCAUUUUGGUAUCUUACCUUUUCUUUUAAUACGUUCAUUUUUUUAUUAUACAUCAUUACGGACGAGAAAGAUUAAAAUAAUAAAAAUAUAACAAAAAAUUAUGCAUCACUCUUAGUCGUGAGAUCGUUCUUUAUACAAUUUGAGAGAUUAAAAGAGCUUGUCUCGUCACUUUAUGGGCAGCUCCAUUGACACGACGUCAGACCACAUGAACAUGCAAACGGGGCACACCGCCAAGAAGGCCAGUAUUUUUACAAUGACCGUGCCACUAGCUAGACAUCUCAUGCUCCGUCAAGAGAGUCGGGAAAAGACAAGUUUCGCGUCGCCUUCAAUGUCUACCUGCCACACGCCAUUGUCGGAAGCAGCAAUCGACAAUCACAAGUGUCACAGAUGGCCAGGAGCUCCAAGACGUAUGGGUCAAGGACCCCUGGAUAUGUGCAUCAUACCCCCAACAAAACCUCGCCACUAACGUUCCAAACCAUCCACUACACCACCGGUUGGGUCAGCCACAACACCGUCCACUUUGAUUUUAAUACAUGUGAUGAGCGAUUGUCUUUUCGCAGUUACCGCGUCAAAACAGCUUGCCUAUCUUUCUGAAGAUCAAAAGAACUGGCACCACUUUUGUCUUGGAUCACGCACCGCCUGAAGGUGAAGAGCAUUAGCUUCUUGUUUGGAGUUGGCUGAGCGUCUUUGUGGAAGACCAAGAAUGAAGCUAGAUUUAUCGAAACUCGCACCACUCUCGAGGUCUUUGCGUAGCGUAUCAGAUCAUGGGUCGAGACUACUGAGGAGGAUUUGAUACGUGACAUGUACACUCAUAUCGAUUCACCUACUAAAACUAUGGUGGAUGUCUCUUGGUCGUUGCCACUACCGGAGUGGGUUGAUGGCCACUCGGCGGGUGUGUUAUUCUUGAGACCGAACGAGCAGCCGAUGGAGGCUUGUUCCGUGAUUCCGAUGGGCGCCAUUUAGCAGCAUAUUCGAUGGACCUAAGAUCAUGUUCAAUCACCAGAGUUGAGUUGAUAGCUGUUGUGCAAGGGUUGCAGUUGGCUUGGGAGUUUUGAGUGCCAACAGGUACGAGUGCAACUAGACUCGAUCCAGCUUCUGCUGGCGGAGGGUGAAAGCAUACACCAAUACUCUUCUAAGGUCAUCUAGUUUCAUGAGAUAUUGAAUCGAGACUAAACGAUUAAAGUUGAGUACAUUUAUCGAGAAGGCAACGAGCCAUUGACUUCCUGGUGAGCCGAUGUCAUAAUUUCCCUAUUGAUGUUCUUUUGUUCUUUUGUUCUUAUUUUGAGGGAUGAGUGGUAAACAAAAAAAACCAUGGAGUUGAAUGAUUUAGUACUAAAGAAUAAGUAUUCUUAGGCGUUUAAUUUCAAAACUGAAAUUAACCAGUUCAAACAAACAUUGAAUUACAGAAACGCGACUAAAACGGCAAGCCUUUAUGAAGGUUGGCAGCUGAAAUCACACAUUCCUCAAUAGAUUUGCCUAGUUUCAAUAACCCCCUCAAUUUCUACUUCCUAGUCAAGUUAGGCAAAUGAACCCACCACCAUUUUGAUUUAGUUCCUCUAUAACUGGUAGCUGUUGAUUUGGGUAAAAGGAUUAAUCCCUUAUUGCCUCACAAUCCAACACAAAUAAUAUAUAAUAUGAAUGUGGAAAAAGAAAACCCCAAAUUUGAAGAAGAAGAACUAACCCCAUUAACAUGAGCCCUCUCGACGAGCUUAGAAGGGGACAAGAAGCCACACUGUUGUUAGAAUGAGAAUGUAAAUCGAAGACAAUUUUGUCCCCUAAGGUUGUCUGAACCCCGAAAUCAUCAAGGCAGGCAUGCUGCUGUUGCUGAUCCAAAUACACCCAAUCCGCCACAGCCUUCAACGCUACCGUCUGCUCCGCGGUCAUCUUACUCUUGCUCUUCUUCUUCUUUUUAUUAUUCUUCUUAUGGCUCUUUUUAGUUGUCAUGUUCCCAUGACAAUUCUGUUGAUGGGAUUGUUGUUUGAACAAGACUCUACCAUAGAAAUAUUAUCCACCAUGCCUACCCAAGGGCUAGGUGCUUGAUUCUUGUCUUCUGGGUUUAUCGAUACCAAAUAUUUUUUAGGUAAUAUUAAAUCGGAAAUUACGUAGAUAAUCCACUUGAAACCCUAAUUACGUAAAAUGGUCUAUACCACCACUUACAACGGCGUGUUGUAGGUGGCCUCUAACGGCUAGUUUCUAACGGUCGUUAGAGGCUACCUACAACGCGCGGCCGACGCACAGUGCGUUGUAGGUAGCCUCCAACGUUUACUUUCUAACCCUCUAUAUAAAUCGUGCAUUUUGUGGUGUAAGAACUCACCCAUCAUACCUAUUCAUUACUCAUCACUUCCUCCUACACGUCAACAAAAUGUCUUCAAGCAAGUCCAACGAGAAUGUUAUAAACAAGUUUUGCCGCCCCGAUGAGUCAAAGGAUUUGUUCACCUACUUCAGAGAAGAAGUGAAGUGUGAUUGUCGAUUUCGUGCAGCAAGACUGAUGACGUUGAAGUUCGAGAAAUACUUCAAUUUUCCUUUCUAUAAGUGUAGGUUUGAGUAGAAGUUGGAGGUGGUGUUGACCGAGAACUCGGUGAGGCGCGAGAUGCGAGCUACAAUGGAGGCGAAGGUAGUAGAGAAGGAUGUUGAGAUUGAAGCUUUUCGUGCUGAGAUGGCACAUGAUCGUUCCGAAUGGUAACGUGAUAAGAUAGACAUCAUACGGUCAAAGGAUAGGUACAUCGAGGCAAUCACCAAAGACUUGAAGGAUGCAAAUACGAAGUUUAGAAGGUUUAGGGUGGUGUAAUAUUUAUGUACUUUUUAAGCAAUGUUGAAUAAAAGAAUUGAUCGUUUAUAAUAAAUCGGUUGUGUUUCAAAUUGUUGUAGGUACUUAAAUAAUUUUAUCGUAACUGUCAAGCUUAGUAACUGAUAAAGCUGUCUGAAAGUUAUAUCAAAAGAUGAUAAAGGUGUAUGGAAUUGGUAUGAAGCUAUAAUUUUUAGGUCAAAAGAUGUUAAAGCUGUCGGAAUAUUGCCGAAAGUUGCAUGUUUCGGUCAAAAGAUGCUGAAACUGUCUAAAAGGUGCAUACAUCUGUAAUUGGCCGAAAGUUGUACAACCCGUGGUCAAAAGCUACCACUGUUGCCUAAAGCUGCAGCCUCGUGGUUAGAAGCUGCUAGCUACCAGCUGUAAAUGUGCUGGGGAAUCCUUCAGAUGAUUGGAGAGAAUAUAUUGUGGCAUAUCCUGCUGUAAUAUUACCCGCUCCCUUCUAUUUAAGCACAAACUUCCAUUGCUUACAACUCACAAGUUCUAAGCACCAUUUCGUAACUCAUUCUACCAACUCUGCUUCUCCUCUCUAUCCUUCUGAAUAGAUAAUAUUCGAGUUCUCCUUCAUUCUUCAGGGGCAGGGGGGGCAUCUCUUUUACUCGAACAUCACAGUUGAGUAUGGCGGUGGUCACUCUUGGACAGUGAAGAUGAGUUCAACCCCAACCUUCACCCAAGCCAUUCCUGUUUUUCUGAAGAAAAUGAAGAUCCCAGCGGAGGCCACCCUCCGGACCGUGUACUAUCGUGAACCUAUAGUGGCCGACGAUACUAUUGCUCGGUAUUGUCUCUGGUCGUGCACCGAUGAAGAAUCUUGAGGAGCCAUCUAAUACAUUCUAAAUAUCUUCCUUAUGUGCAACAAUCCAAAACUUUAUUUUGAGUUCGAUGGUCCAAUCGACGGAGUUUAUGGCUUAGUCGGCUAAGCCUCAACGAUUGGGCUUCGAACCUUCUGGUUCACAAAAUGAUGACGGGGUCUCACAGUGCGGCGUACAACCCACCGCUGAUGCCGUGGAUGCAGGCAAUGUUGACGACGAGCCUGAGUACGAUCCAGAUAACAACAAUGGGGAAGGGAAAGAUGACAAGGCCUCUAAUGAGGUCGACAACGGUAUGCCGAUUAGCCCUCUCUAUCCAGAGUGCGAGGAUGUUGAUGUUAUAAUCGGUGCGGGCGCUGCAAACUCUUCUCGUGCAGCACCACAGGUGUACACUGCAGCUGAGUUGUACACAACGUUGGGCGACAACAUCGACCAGGUGAUGACUGUUGACCACUAUGAGGGUGGCCCUGUGAUCUCGGAUUUCGACCCUACCCAUCAACAUUUCUACAUCGGCCAACGGUUUUACAUGAUGAAGUAGACAAGUCUUGCUGUCAAACACUGGGUCAUGCAUAACAAUCAAGCCCUGGCGACGUCUUGCUCAAAAACUUUGGAGUUGGAGGUCAGGUGUUAUUCGUACAAAACAAACAACUGCCCAUGGAGGUUACGCGUCACCAGCAGCGCAGACGACGGGUUCUGGAUGGUUCGGUAGUGGAAUCCACGUCACACAUGUGGCGGAAGCGAGCACAACGUAAAAUCUACCCAACUGGAUGUGAAUGUCAUCACGGAUGCGGUGAUGCAGCUUUUCCGGUCAAGGCCACACUUUCGGAUCCUUCUAAUCCAAGAUGAGAUUUAACACCUUUUCCAACGUAAUAUCUCAUAUAGAAAGGCGUGGUACGAGAAACAGAGGGCUAUGGAGAUGACUUGUGGCAAUUGGGAGGAGUCUUACAACAAGCUGCAAGAUUUCUUCAACGAAGUACGGAGUCGUAACCCUGGCACCCAAGUCCAAUUCCAUUUUAAUGACUUAAUCGGUGGUGUCGGUGUUCAGAGGCAGUUUCGUCCUGUAUUUGAGAGCUUCCGGCAGUGCAUUGAAGGGUUCUGACAUUGUCCACUUGUCCUAGUUGUUGACGGCACCUUCCUCACCGGGAAAUAUAGUGGCACCCUAUUGAUGGCUAGUUCAUUUGAUAGCAACCAUAACAUUUUGACGGUCGCCUUUGCCAUCAUCGACAAAUAGAGCAUUGACACCUAGGCGUGGUUUCUCUGUUGCACCUAAGAGCUAGUGAUAGAGAGGCAUAACGUAUGCGUCAUAUUGGAACGUCAUUCCGGACUUAGAACUACGAUGGACCAAAUUGGUGGGGGCUGGGUAUGAAGAUGGUGCAGCCGACAUUAUGAAAGCAACUACAACAACCAUGUGAAGGAUCCCAAUAUGAAGGCACGACUGAAGUCCACAAGUAAACUUCCCUCACAACUGCUGCAUUUAUCUAAAUUCCUUUGGCUAUUUUCUUAGACCAUGUGUUACAGUCCAUGAAGGGUCACAGAGGAGGUUCAACACCAAGCUUACUGGUUUUCUUAUCGUCGAUGCGAAACUGGCCCUCAACAAGAAAAACUAAGUCCUCAAAGACCAAGAGAAGUGGAGCAAAUGUGGUGAUGCUGAGCUGGGGGGCAUGCGCCAUGGAAUAAUGAUAACGAACAUGGCCAAGAGUAUUAACAGACCGUUCAAAUGGACCAUGUCAUUGCCGAUAUGUGUUUUGGUUAGCUCAACGUUUUACAGGUAUACGGUUAAGGCUUUCGAUGUGUCUUGCAGUGUAAAUUCAUCAUGCGAUCUUAUAGUAGUUUUGCUGUGUUUGGUAGGCCUACUAGAUUUUUUGAUGAACGGCACAAAAAAAGAACAUAACCUUCGAGAUGAUGAACAAAAUAAAACCAUAUCGAGGUCCUAGUUGUACGAUUUUGGUACGAUGUCCUUCCAACGUGGACUCACGUAGAACAUCACGCCACCACACAAACAUAGUAUAUAGGAUAAAAAUUAGGCCCAAAUGGAGAAGUGUUGCAUCCCCUUGAAAUGAGUGCAUGUACAUCACACCUCCUACGGUGGUUGCCAAAGCUCCGAGUGAACCCAAAAUAGGCCUUGGACUUGGAUCUACCAAAUGAUAAGAAUUCCUCUUAAGAUUCAAUCAUAAACUACUUUGCCAAGGUUGUAUGUAAACCCCCCCACCCCCUAAAGUAGUAAAGAAGGGCUCUUUGGGGUCUAAUUUUUAUAUUCUAUCUGACAGGAAAAACAAAUAGGAAGGGAUGGUUCUUUCAUUGCAUUGAUAGAAGUCUAACUAGAAAAAGAUCUUACUAUUACUAUCAAUUUAGGAAGAGAAUCAGAAUGAAAAGAAGCCCAAAAAAAAGCAAAAAAGAACAUAACCUCCGAUACGAUGAACAGAAUAAAACCAUAUCGAGGUCCUAAUUGUACGAUUUUGGUAUGAUGUCCUUCCAACGUGGACUCACGUAGAACAUCGCGCCACCAUACAAACAUAGUAUAUAGGAUAAAAAUUAGGCCCAAAUGGAGAAGUGUUGCACCCCCUUGAAAUGAGUGCAUGUACAUCACACCUCCUACGGUGGUUGCCAAAGCUCCGAGUGAACCCAAAAUAGGCCUUGGACUUGGAUCUACCAAAUGAUAAGAAUUCCUCUUAAGAUUCAAUCAUAAACUACUUUGCCAAGGUUGUAUGUAAACCCCCCCACCCCCUAAAGUAGUAAAGAAGGGCUCUUUGGGGUCUAAUUUUUAUCCUAUAUCUGACAGGACAAACAAAUAGGAAGGGAUGGUUCUUUCAUUGCAUUGAUAGAAGUCUAACUAGAAAAAGAUCUUACUAUCAAUUCAAAAAGAUCUCUCUAUUACUAUCAAUUUAGGAAGAGAAUCGUUGGGUUAACCGACGAACUACAUGGGAGGAUCUUCUUUCUUUUCUUUUUCCAAGACAAGCCCUUAGAAAACACUCACUUACGCCCAUCUGUCGGAUCCUAGCUACCCUUUUGUAACCAAGAAGAAGUCUUCUCUCGUUGACAACCCUGAUGCUACACGUGUGUCAUAUAUACGGAUGCAACAUGUGAAUGAACAUAUGAACAUGUUACAACAGUGGUAGCUUGAACAAACAACAAUGUAUCCCUUCUCUAAUAGCACGUCUCAUUCAUGUUCAAAGCAGCAAGAUAUAACAAGUUUCAUGCUCAAUCAGUAGUAAGUUUACUUCAUCCCCGGAGACCGGUCCAGUAGAGGACCCUUUAGGCGGAAACUACUAUGUUAUCGUGCAUUCUUCAUUCGCAUGAAAGUAUGAAUAUAAGCAAGCUUUCUUAUUCGAAAAAGAGCUAUGGAAGUUUUGUCGGUGUUCUUUCAUCUGUUAUAUAAGAUAUUUCGAAAUUUACAAUCAUGUGACUCGCCCAACCUAUACAAGGGGCUUUCAUCAGUAUUUUGUUGAAGGAUAAACCCUACUAAGGAAAGGAUGAUCUAUAGCUACUCCUAACCCUUAGCCGCCUCGACUGUUCGAAAGACUAACAAGUGGAGGAGGGAGUUCCAAAGCAACUGUGACUCAUGCGGCAGACAAAUUUAUUUCGACUCAUUGAAUGCUAGAAAAUACGCUUCUUUUGUCAGUUAGGUUAGGUGCGAAAGCCCAAAAAUAGGCCUUGGACUUGGAUCUACCAAAUGAUAAGAAUUCCUCUUAAGAUUCAAUCAUAAACUACUUUGCCAAGGUUGUAUGUAAACCCCCCCACCCCCUAAAGUAGUAAAGAAGGGCUCUUUGGGGUCUAAUUUUUUCGAUAGAUAGCAGGUUGCUUCCAAGCUCAAACCAUUUGAAACAACAAGCAACGGAUAAGCUUGAAAGAGGGAGCGGGGAAGGAAGAACAGCCGUUUUACUUUGGCACAUGAGGUGGCGGGUUUGGCUAGGUAACAUAAUGGAAAUGUAUCAGACUGCGAAUGCUAACAGUAUCGAAGCGCACCAAGAGAUUCCCGGUCGAACAAAUUUCGUAUAUAAAAAAAAAGAUGUGUUUUGUCCGUCCUCUUUUUUUUUAUUUAAAAAGAAAGAAAAAACGCUUCUUUUGUCAGUUAGGUUAGGUGCGAAAGCCCAUUAUGGGGGUUGUGUAUAGUGGAUGUUGUGGCUAGGGGGGUACUGUCUUGGUUCAAAUGAAUGCAUCUGAGUUAGCAAGCAGGUGGGGUACAAGAGAAAAAGAAUGUGAUCUUUAGGCUCUGAGUGAGCUAGGCGGUCAUUCUCCUACUCCUUUGAAUGUCUGCUCCUCAUAUGGAAAAUAGGAUGUCGGACUUAGAAUCUGCUUAUUCAAUAUCUUGUCCAGAGUAAAAUAUCACUACACCGGGGUUGUUGGCUUUCACGAAGCAAGACGGAUUUAUAAGAGCGCUACGCUAAUCAUCACCAUUGAGUGUUGGAGCAAUAAUUCUAUGAAAAGGGGAGUUAGACUUUCUAAAAAGCAACUGAAAUCGAGUACAUCAAAUCGAGAGAUCUUCGGAUUUUCGGUCUAUAGGUCGCGCAUUAGUCCCAUAUAUUCCCAUCGAUACAAAAUUAGGAAAUGAUUUGUUGCAAUCUUUGCUUUGGCUGUGGAAGGGGAAAGACUCGUUGCCCUACUGUUAGCUUUGUAAAGUAGUACUCAUAGGGUAAGGACAGGUGGCAUAGCGCAGUCCUAAUCGAUGUGGUGUCCAGUCACAAUCUAGAGAAUAAGA
RNAcentral lists this long non-coding RNA (9870 nucleotides) under Linum usitatissimum (flax). Its description in RNAcentral is "long non-coding RNA (LUSI_LNC007285)". The record is from RNAcentral. Lineage: Eukaryota; Viridiplantae; Streptophyta; Magnoliopsida; Malpighiales; Linaceae.